RNAcentral lists this ribosomal RNA (484 nucleotides) under uncultured bacterium. RNAcentral's name for it is "partial 16S ribosomal RNA". It matches the Rfam family "Bacterial small subunit ribosomal RNA", at positions 28 to 523 of the family's 1533-position model. The record is from RNAcentral.
GACGAACGCUGGCGGCGUGCUUAACACAUGCAAGUCGAACGAUGAAGCUAGAGCUUGCUCUGGUGAAUUAGUGGCGAACGGGUGAGUAACACGUGAGUAACCUGCCCCGAACUCUGGGAUAACUGCUGGAAACGGUAGCUAAUACUGGAUACGACCUACGAAGGCAUCUUCUGUAGGUGGAAAGAAUUUCGGUUCGGGAUGGACUCGCGGCCUAUCAGCUCGUUGGUGAGGGAAUGGGUCACCAAGGCGACGACGGGUAGCCGGCCUGGGGGGGUGGCCGGGCACACGGGGCCUGAGACACGGCCCAGACUCCGACAGGAGGCAGCAGUGGGAAAUAUUGCACAAUGGGCGCAAGCCUGAUGCAGCAUCGCCGCGUGAGGGAUGACGGCCUUCGGGUUGUAAACCUCUUUUAGUAGGGAAGAAGCGAAAGUGACGGUACCUGCAGAAAAAGCACCGGCUAACUACGUGCCAGCCGCCGCCGUAA